This is a non-coding RNA of Triticum urartu, 572 nucleotides long. Lineage: Eukaryota; Viridiplantae; Streptophyta; Magnoliopsida; Poales; Poaceae. The record is from RefSeq and is a predicted model, not a curated record.
CUCGUUUGUUUCGCGAGUAUUGGAGGGGUUUUCAGCGAAAUUUCCCCGCGAGGCCCAGAUUCCUCCCGAAUACCCGUUGGCCCAUUUGGUAGGCAGGGUUUUCUCGGCCCAACCCCUUCGAUUCCCCUUCGACCCACCUGUUCCCACACGGUUCAGAAUCAUCUCGCCCGCCCUCGAGGAUUUGGCCGCCCCGACUCGAGACGAUGCCGCCGACGCCGCGCCGCCCGACUCGACGCCGGCGAUCUCUCCGGCCUACUGGACUUCUCACUGGUGGUUCUCAAGCACCAAAAGAAGCAACAAUAAACAAGCUGGAGGGAUAACUUUCUCUCAGAUUCUCAAAGAUAGAUGAUCAUGACACCAAAAGAUUGAUAUAUCUGUAUGCGAAAUUAUAACUGAUCUUGAGCUAUUCCAGAAGUACUUGUGUUGCGUUAUCUUUGCUGCAAAAUUAUGUUGGGGCUGUGAUGAACUGUUGUUGCUGCGAAAGAUCAUGUUGUCAUGAUAAAUUAUGAUUCCUGGGAUUCGGGAUUCGAAGUCAUGUUGUUAUGAUAAAUUAUGAUGUUGUUGUGAUGAUA